UGAGUAGCUUGCUAUGAGCUGUUUUAGCGGCGGACGGGUGAGUAACGCGUGGGUAACCUGCCUCAUACAGGGGGGAUAACAGUUAGAAAUGACUGCUAAUACCGCAUAAGACCACGGAGCCGCAUGGUACAGUGGUAAAAACUCCGGUGGUAUGAGAUGGACCCGCGUCUGAUUAGCUAGUUGGUGAGGUAAUGGCCCACCAAGGCGACGAUCGGUAGCCGGACUGAGAGGUUGAACGGCCACAUUGGGACUGAGACACGGCCCAGACUCC
RNAcentral lists this ribosomal RNA (271 nucleotides) under uncultured Eubacteriales bacterium. RNAcentral describes it as "uncultured Clostridiales bacterium partial 16S ribosomal RNA". It matches the Rfam family "Bacterial small subunit ribosomal RNA", at positions 68 to 339 of the family's 1533-position model. Lineage: Bacteria; Bacillati; Bacillota; Clostridia; Eubacteriales. The record is from RNAcentral.